This is a long non-coding RNA of Prinia subflava (tawny-flanked prinia), 2294 nucleotides long. RefSeq lists it as uncharacterized. Lineage: Eukaryota; Metazoa; Chordata; Aves; Passeriformes; Cisticolidae. The record is from RefSeq and is a predicted model, not a curated record. The transcript is spliced from 3 exons.
CCCCGGGUAGUACCGUGGGCAGCAGCAGGGCCCAGCCCGGCCGGGCCUCCCGGAGCCGCUGUGCCCACGGCGUGGGGCGGCCCGGCCGGCUGAGCCCCCUUUGCCCCGGCUGCCGGGGAGAGGGGAGGCUGCAGCCCGGGCUGGCUGCGUGCCAGGGGUCACGGCAGAGAGAGCCAGGCCGUGGCUGUGCCCGAUAACAGCGAGCAGCGGGGGAGAGGAGGAAAAGCCCCGGCAGCUGCCCGUGCUGCUGGCCAGGGCUGGGGGGAAUGUUCCCCGCCCAUCCUCCUUCCUUGGGCCUCAAGGGAGCAGCUCUGAGCGGCCGUCAUCAGAUCGAGGGGUGGAAAAGAGACCAGAGACCACAUGAGCACCUGGUACUUCGCCUGGGCAAGUUUUAACUCUUUCCUGCCGGCAGAUGGAACUCCCAGAGCACUGCCCCUUCCCAAAUCCAUCUCAUUUGGCCAGAAGAGCUUUGUGGCAGUCUCUUCCUGCCCUACCACUGCCCAUGUCCCUUCAGUGACCUCCAGGCUGAGAAUUUCAGCUUCAGAAAAAUGAGCAUAGUCUCGCAGCAUCUUGACUGAAGAGGAGGACAAGGUAUCAGCUGGAGACAGUGGGACAAAGUUGCCAAAUGCAAACCUGCUGUUGACAUGGAUAGUGCUUCCCAGGAGGCCUGGUCCUCGGCCCAGGGAGCCUCUGGGCGGAAGAUGGAAAGAAGCAAUACUCAUCAUCAGAAUAUCUAACUCAUUUCUUGAAACAAGCUGGAUAGCUAUGCAGGGAAAAGUUAUGCUUUCAGGAAGAAAUUUCACCUAAACUUUAAUUUCUGUUUUAAAUAUUAAUCAUAAUUGAUGACCUUAACUAUUCAACAGAGCAGUUCUUUGUAUUCUUCCAUGCUGUUGGGAAUUUUUGAGUGGUCUUCUCAGAGAUAAAAUGAAUGCUGCUGUAAAACUGUUUCACAAAAUAAAUUUGUAUGUUUCAGGAGAUGCUUCCUCCACAAUGAUGGAAAGAAAAAUGUAAUCAGCAUAACUUGGUGCAAUAAAAUGGUACAAAAAGCACUGGGAAGAAGUAAGUCCUUGAGAGUGACAAAUCCAAGGAUUUUUUUUUAUUUUUUCAUUCCACUUGAAAAAAAAACACAACAUAGUUAAAGCACUGUUAGAAUUGAUGUUGAUCUCUCUGGCUAACAUUUCAAUGAGUUAAAACUUCAGGGAUGUUUGGCUGUAUUCCAGUUUUUUCAGUUCUAUGCUCUUUUAAGAAUUUUAAUUUUUCUUGGAUAAUUAGAUCUCUGACAUUAGACGCAUAUAAUUAACAGGGAAAAUGGCUUGCAUGCUGACUAUAAUAGCACUGUCUGACCUGUUUGCCAGAUAACUGUUAUGACCUGGUUUCUUGGAAUCAUUUUAUUCCCACAGAUAGCAGCAGACAUGCCUAACUGGAACCACUUCAAUCUUUUUGAAAGGAUGAAAUCCUGGGACCUUUUACUGAUUUCAGUCGUUCCAGGAUUUUGUAUGCAUCUUCAAAAUUUCUUUUUAAGAUAAUCCUUUUUUAACUUUUUUUUUUUUAAUAGUUGAAUCUGAAUGAUUCCCCCAUGUCAAUAGAAUAAUAGGACUGAAACUUCAUGUGCAAAGCUGUAUUGCUCAGAGAUGUUUCUUAGAAUUGUCACAGAAGCUUUUACUGUAAUUUUCAAAAUGUGCCUUUCAGGGUGGGAGGGAGAUGUGUUCUCUUUAAACUAAAAUAUUAUCUUUAUCUGUCUGUUAUUAACCAAAGUUCAGGACUUGAGUGUCAUUCACGUCUUUUGCAAAAUUGUUCCCAAGACUUUUUUAAUAGCCUAUUUACCAACUGCUAAAUAAACACCACCUGACAAAAAAGGACUGGAAAAAAUGUUUUCAGCUGCUUGUUACCAUGUUUUUUUAUGCUACUUUCAACUUACUUUUUGCAUUUAGGUCAGAUACAGUUUUGGUUCACUAAAAUAAAACUUUCAUUUCUCAUUUUUUAAGGAGUUAAAAAUAUCCCCCUGGUCAGGGUGAGAGAACUCUCACCCGAAAGGCCUCAUGGGAGCUCCCUAUGUAGAUUAGACUAGAAAGUUCUUUGUCCCCCUUGUUACCAUUGGUUACUUUUUGCUGCAAUAGUAUUCAUAUUCGUAAUCCACUCUCCCAAUAAAUUCUCUGCCCUCAGACUCCACCCUUAUCCUACCCUGUAUAAGUUACUGUAAGCCCCUGGACCUUGCAUUUUUUGGUGCACCCUAUCCUAAGCUCAGUUUGCUGUUUGUUGUUUUGCAUUGUUUUUGCAUUUGUUAUUAAAGUAGU